Molecule: small RNA, 567 nt
Filed under: Pan troglodytes (chimpanzee)
Lineage: Eukaryota; Metazoa; Chordata; Mammalia; Primates; Hominidae
Description: retained intron
Source: RNAcentral
AAUCAGCGGCGGCGUUACUUUUGCGGCUCCACGUCGGCACCAGCUGCGGGGCAAGAUGGAGGCGCUGAUUUUGGAACCUUCCCUGUAUACUGUCAAAGCCAUCCUGAUUCUGGACAAUGAUGGAGAUCGACUUUUUGCCAAGUACUAUGACGACACCUACCCCAGUGUCAAGGAGCAAAAGGCCUUUGAGAAGAACAUUUUCAACAAGACCCAUCGGACUGACAGUAGGUCAUUUUCCUUUCACUACUACCCGUGCUGGGGGGAACCAUGGUGGAAAGGGGGUGGUAACAGGGCUGUGGAGAAAGGAUGAAAUGACUCUGCCUUUUUCUUUUUUUUUCCUUCCUUCCCUUGUAUAAUAAACUCUUCAGAAUGUAAUGGGGAGGUGAGUGUACCUCACGCGGGAAUACCAUGCUGGAAGGUUGGCUGUUAGCUACCUGUCUAGUCCCUGGAUUUAUGAGCCUCACUUGACAAAUUUAAUUGCAGCUCUGCCUAUUGUACCGCAUCCAUUAGGGCAGGUAAAUGGAAGUCUGUAAAGGUGACCGCUCUGCAUUUUCACCUCUGAAGGAU